GUCGAGGAGGCGUUGUGUGGGCGCGACGGCUGCGAGUUGGGGAGGUCUGUGGUGCGGGUCGCCCCGGGGGAUCCCCGGCGCGGGCCUCGCGCGACGGCCACGGUCGCGCGGCGUGUGUGGGGGGUCCACGCACACCCGCAAAACUUCCUCCUCCCCUGCUCCGGGAGAGCGAGCGAGCGUGUGUGAGAGCGAGUGUGAGGAGCGAGCCGCGGCCCGACGCCCAGCGCCGCCGCUGGAGCAGCUGUCAAAACUUCGCCGCCGCCCGGGCCCCGCGGCCCGCCCUCCCCGCGCCGGGCCCCUUUCUCUUCCUGCUGCGGGCGGCCCGGGGGAGGGGCCGCGGGCGGAGACCCCGGAGGCCGGCGCCCCUCACGCCGCCCGCCCGCCCGCUCCCCGCCCGGCCCCUGCGCGCGUGCGUGUCCUGCUCGCUCCAUGUUGCCGCCUCUCCCGGUACCUGCUGCUGCUCCCGGGGCUUCGGGAAAUGCGAGAGUCUGAGCCGGGGAGGAGGAACCCGAGCAGCGGCGGCGGCGGCCGCGGCGGCGGGAGCCCCCCAAGAGGAGGACCGGGAUCCAUGUGUCUUUCCUGGUGACUAGGAUGUCGUCGGAGGAGAACAAGUGCGUGGAGCAGCCGCAGCCACCACCCCCCGAGGAGCCUGGAGCCCCGGCCCCGAGCCCCCCAGCCGCAGACAAAAGACCUCGGGGCCGGCCUCGCAAGGCGCUUCCCCUUUCCAGAGAGCCAGAAAGAACAGCAAGAUUAAGAAAAUUGUGCAUUCAAUUAUAUCAUCCUUUGCAUUUGGACUAUUUGGAGUUUUCCUGGUCUUACUGGAUGUCACUCUCGUCCUUGCCGACCUAAUUUUCACUGACAGCAAACUUUAUAUUCCUUCGGAGUAUCGUUCUAUUUCUCUAGCUAUUGCCUUAUUUUUUCUCAUGGAUGUUCUUCUUCGAGUAUUUGUAGAAGGGUGGAUUCUUGCUCUGUCACCCAGGCUGGAGCGUAAUGGCACAAUCUUCGCUCACUUCAACCUCUGCCUUCUGGGUUCGAGCAAUUCUCCUGCCUCAGCCUCCUGAGUAACUGGGAUUACAGGCGUGUACCACCACAUCUGGCUAAUUUUUGUAUUUUUAGUAGGGACGGUGUUUUACCAUAUUGGCCAGGCUGGUCUUGAGCUCCUGAACUCAAGUGAUCCACUCGCCUCAGCCUCCCAAAGUGCUGAGAUUACAGGCUUGAGCAACCUUGCCCAGCCAAAAGUAAACUUUUUAAUUCCAUCACAAUAUGUUCUAGAUCUUUGACAGACUGAAAGACAUAGAAUGUCAAAAGGUGAGACUCUCUCAUGUGGCUAAACACCCUCCUACUGCAGAUACAGAACUGAGCCCAAGAGCAUUCACAUGCUGGUGAGAGGUGGUGGCCAGGGGCAGGCAGAUGGUUGCACCACUCUCAGGGUCAGCAUCCUCCCCAGUGUGGCAUGGGGGAGGGGAGGGGAGGGGGCACGGGGCCUGGGAGGCUGUAGCCUAAAGGCACGCAGCGGGCAAGAGACUACUGGGCGGACCCCUGCCAGCCUUCAGUUCCAUGAGCGUCUGGUGCCAGGACGCUCCUUGUGGGCUCUGCCCUGGGAGAAGUGCCCUUGCCCAGUGCUCCUUCUCGGUGUCUGUGACGUGCUGUCUCCAGUCCUCCUCAUUAGCAUACCUUGGCCGACCUUUGGCUCAUGGAAAAACACUUUGCUCUUCUCGGAACAAUUUCUUUUUCACAACUGAGCAAAUGACUGAUGAGGUGACCACACUCAUGACCAUACUCAUCUGUUGGUGGUGGGUGGGGGGUGGACUGGAUGAGGACAGCAUUGGGCAACACUCUUUCUGGCCUCCCCACUGCAGGGAGCCACAAUUACUGUGGGAGGCCAGGGUAGUCCAGGGUUUCCCUUUGGGCCAUCAGCAUUCCAACUGCUCCUCCUACUUCUGGCCUCUGGAGAACUAAAUUACCACCAUGCACUUCCCAUUCCACCUGUGCCUCAGCCCGAGGGUCCUGCUCUUCCUGCAUAUUCAAGCUGAUCUUUCUAGGGAGUAGCCUGCACUGUGCCAGCACUACCCCCUUGUCACAGGCAGCACCUCCCUGUGCUGGGGGAGCCUCAGUCUGCCCUUGGGCUCAGGCCCCUAGGCUCAGGUUAGCUGACAUUCCCAGGAAAUCCUACAACUUCUCCUUUCCUUUCAUGGCUGUAAGACACAGUCCACUAUCAGUCUCAUUGUAAAAGACAUUUCUAAAGAGUGUCCUCCUUUCUUUCCCAACACUAGCAGGGACAGUAAGUGAUGUUUCCUGGGAGAUGCUAUGGUGUUAUUUUUGCACUACAAGGGCUCUGAAGACUGCCAGGCUUGAAAUGAAGAACGAUGUCACCUGCCUAUCACAGCCAGGUGACAAUGGACAAGGGGCUUCACCUCUGAGCUGUUUUCCAGCUGCACUGGGCACAUUCCUCCCCUCACCCUGACUCACAAGGUGUUAGCAAUAAUGGACACUUCUCUACCUUCUGCCACACUCUGAACAAUGCCACACUUCCAUCAAAUGGAUUCAUCCCAAAGGUAAAGCCCAUCACUUCUAGAGGGAGAAAGGUAAUGUUUUCCUACCACUUUUAUUUGAUCUCAUUUAGAAGGUACUUGAGGAAUAGAGAAGACUGGGUUUUCUCUGGGAUUAUACUUAGGCAUUUCUUAACGACUGGGACAUGUUCUGAAAAAUCUGUCAUUACACAAUUUCAUCAUUGUGCUAUCAUAGAGCAUACACACCCGACCCUAGAUGGCAUAGCCUACUCCACACCUAGGCUGUACAGUAUGGCCUGUUGCUCAAGGCUACACACCUGUACAGCAUGUUACUGUACUGGAUACUGUAGGCAACUGUAACACAGUGGUAUUUGUGUAUCUAAACGUAUAUAAACACAGAAAAGGUAUAGUAAAAGAUGGUAUAAUUUCAUGGGACCACCAUCCGAUACACCAUCCAUCACCAACAGAAACAUGGUUAUGAGGCACAGGACUGUAACUGCAGCCCCUGCCAUGAGGUCAAUGGCAGCCUGGAUAGGGGGAUUGGACUUCAUGUUUGCCCACUCUUCUGGUCUCAUGGAAGGCAGCUCUCUGGAGCUUAUGACAGGCACCACAUAUCCCUGGGGGGAGGCAAGAGUUCACCAUUAGUCCAAGUCUGCAGCCUCCCAUUCUCUAGGCCUGCAGCCAAAUUACUGGACCUAAACUUCUGGGAGCCAUGAACUGGGCUCUACAUUGUUCCAAAGGAAAGGGGCUCAAGGAAUCAGUGCAGCUUAGCAAUUGUCCCUUAGAAAGCUCACAGAUCAAAAACCUCCCCUGCGUAUCAAUUCUACAGCCACCAGCAGCACUUCAACUGACCUUUCUGAAAACUGAAAAAAUGAACACCAAAUAAGUCAACCACAGAUGUACUAACCCACAUCAGGCUUGCUUUUUUAGAGGCCUGCGCUGAGCCAUCAACUGAACAGGCUCACUUCUAAAUCAGAAAGCAGCCUGUGCUGCGUGCCUAAGGGAACGUCACAAGACAGUAGGUCUGGAAAGAAGCACCCAGGCAGCCAAGGGUGGGAGCUGCACCCCAGGAUCACAAACGCCUUGGUGAAUGCCUGCUCUACCUGCAGUGUGGCCCCUUUGGCCUCUACAGCUGGAAGUCUUCAUCUGUACAAAGUGAAUAAUAAAAAUAUUAUAAAACAAAGGCAGUCACAAAUAGCCACAUUGGUGUUGAGGUGAUCAAACCCAACACCAGGCCAUGGGGGCUACAAAGUCCGGCAGAGUCAAAGGAAUGAGACAAGCUAAUAGUACACAAAGUGGGUCCAGGGGGCCAAUGCUAGUAUAGAGGCUGUGAAGGCCCUGAACUCUGGGAGCCCACACCAUUUAUUGGAGAUUAAACAAAGAAGCAGGUGGUGAGGACGUGCUGGUCAAAAGGAAGCAGUCACAUCAAGUGUUUAGUUUAUAGCUGUGUCGGUCUAGCAUUUUCUUUGAAGCAUAUGGAACAUGUUCUGCUACUCGAGAUAAUGAACAUUUCCUUCUGCCUCAAGGUACAAUCAGUUUAUGAUCCUGGGAGAGCAAGAAGCAAGGAGCCAGCAAGUCUGGACACAUUCCAGAGGCCACGAGGGGUUUUAUGUCCUGAGUCCUGGAUUCCAUCCAAGCCAUGAGGGGUUUUAUGCCCUAGGCUUAGGUUGUAGUGCGGCGGGGCAGCCUUCCACCCUUAAGCACAGAACCUGGUGUUCCAUAGGCCACAAGAAGUUUUAAACUCUGGACCCAGGACAUGUUCCAAGGCUCUUUUCAUAUUAUGUCAGACUAGCAAGUCUUGCCUCAGCUUUUCUCCCAACAAUUGGACUGAUGGGUUGCUCCACUGGGCACAAGCAUCAUGGGUUCUUAAAACAAGGCCCUGAACAAGCACCAAAUAUGUUCCUGUCACCACACUCCACUAGCCCUUCAACUAUAAACAUGCAUAGGAGUCACCUGGGGGCCUUGCUAAAUAAAAUGCAGCUUCUGAUUCAAUAGUCUCAAACAGGACCAGAGAUUCUGCGUCUCUUGUUGAGUUCCCGAGUGAGGCAGACAAUGCCAGUCCACAGACUCACAUUUUGAGAUACAGCACCUGGGCCAUUGUGUUCCAAUGUGCUUGAUAACCUGGAGCACCUAUUAAAUAUCCAAGUUGCCAGGACUUUCUUCUGGAAAUCUUAAUUCAGUAUGUUUUGUUUGGAGCCUUGGACGUUUGGGAAAACUAGAAUUUCUUUCUCUCCCUUUAGACAAAAGUCAACUACUGCUGAGGCAUGGGCUUAAUAAAUGUUGACUAAAAUAUCCAACUCAACAACCAAUCCUGUAUAAUUUUCAAACUCUGUCAAUAACUUGCUGGGUCCAACCUGCAGACCCUGGCUGCGUGAUGGAUGAAGAAAUGCACUCAGACACAGAUCCCCUACAAAAGACCAUGUUUCUUCUCAGCUUGCUCAGUCCAGCUGAGCCAGCUUUCCACUGGACUCCUGAAUGUGAGAAGGACACAGGCUCCCAGGACCAUCCAGAAGCAUCUCUCAUCACCUUAAAGCUCUGAAACACUGGCUGGGUGCAGAGGCUCACACAAGUAAUCCCAACACAUUAAGAGGCUGAGGUGGGAGGAUUGCUUGAGGCCAGGAAUUCAAGACCAGCCUAGGCAGCAUAGCAAGACCCCAUCUCUACAAAAAGUACACCCCAAAAUUACCUGGGUGUGGUGGCACAUGCCUAUAGUCUCAAUUAGGAGGCUGAGGUGGGACUAUUCUUUGAUCCCAGGAGUUUGAGGCUGCAGUGGGGUAUGAUCGCACCACCGCACUCCAGCCUGGGAGACAGAUUGAGACCAUCUCUAAAACAACAACAGGCCAGGUGCUGUGGCUUAUGCCUGUAAUCCCAGCAAUUUGGGAGGCCGAGGCAGGUGGAUCACCUGAGAUCAGGAGUUCGAGACCAGCCUGGGCAACCUGGUGAAAUCCUGUCUCUACUAAAAAUACAAAAAUUUAGCAGGGCAUGGUGGCACACACCUGUAAUCCCAGCUACUCGGGAGGCCGAGGCAGGAGCAUUGCUUGUACCCAGGAGGCAGAGAUUGCAGUGAGCUGAGAUCACGCCAUUGCACUCCAGUCUGAGCAACAAGAGCAAAACUUCGUCUCAAAAAAAUAAAAAAUUAAAAAAUAACAAAAAAUGAGACAGAAAACAAAUAUUUUGUUUCAUUAUUGCUUGUUAGUUGAUUAAAGUAAUUCUGCUUCCACUUUAUUUUCAAAGACACUAAUUGCUACACUGAAUAAAACCUUAAUGGAGUUUCAUUAUAAGUAUCUAUUAUCAUUUGAUUAUUUUCUACAUAGAAGCAUGCAAAAAGUUUAAAAUUCAGUUUCAUUUGACUUAGUCUUGACUGUAAUGAAGGACUCUACGAAGAGGGGACACAGUGUUUAUGAGCUGGAGUCCUAGUAACUGCUUGGUGGCAGAGUCCCAGUCAUUCCCCAGUUCAAGCCAUGGGCAGAUAGAUGGGUACUGUCCUUCAGUUCUUCUUACCCAUUCACUUGCUUUCUUUAUUGCUUCAAAAGCCCAGGGAAUAUUCUUAGGUUAAAAAAAAAUAAAUGUUUCAGAUUUCAGAAUAUAACAUGUGAAAUGUAAUGUGGUACUAAACCCAUCACAUUAUAUCACACAAAAUGAUUCUGCCAAAAGUUAAGAUAUUUAAUAAAAGCAGUUUUCCUUGACAUCUUCCGGAAGUUCUUCUAACCAUCUGAACUUGAGCUUAUGCACUGCAUUGUCAAGUGUCCUGUGCCCCCCACCUCCUGGCUUCCACGUGCCUCCAGGCAUCCCUGCUGCCUACAGGACAGCUCAGGUUCCAGCCUCUCUACAGUUGUUUGUGGUUGUCCCCUUUCCAAGCUUCUCAGUCUAAAUCCUAUCCAUUCUUCAUGCACAAACUCAAGUAGUAUUUCACAAACGAGGCUUCUGUUUCUCUCUCCUUCCCACUGUACUGACUUGAUUAGGUCCCUUCAGAAUAUCUGACAGUCCCCCAUGAAACUGGCAUCUGUUCAGCUGUGUCACAUAAACCAGGAACAACUUGGUAGAAUAAGCUUAUCGAG
Molecule: long non-coding RNA, 6568 nt
Filed under: Homo sapiens (human)
Lineage: Eukaryota; Metazoa; Chordata; Mammalia; Primates; Hominidae
Description: PREDICTED lncRNA (TCONS_00175612)
Source: RNAcentral